GACGAACGCUGGCGGCGUGCUUAACACAUGCAAGUCGAACGGAAAGGCCCUGCUUUUGUGGGGUGCUCGAGUGGCGAACGGGUGAGUAACACGUGAGUAACCUGCCCUUGACUUUGGGAUAACUUCAGGAAACUGGGGCUAAUACCGGAUAGGAGCUCCUGCUGCAUGGUGGGGGUUGGAAAGUUUCGGCGGUUGGGGAUGGACUCGCGGCUUAUCAGCUUGUUGGUGGGGUAGUGGCUUACCAAGGCUUUGACGGGUAGCCGGCCUGAGAGGGUGACCGGCAAAAUGGGAACUGGGAUACGGCCCAGACUCCUAGGGGGGGCAGCAGUGGGGAAAUUUCCACAAGGGGCGAAAGCCUGAUGAGCCAACGCCGCGUGCGGGAGGACGGCCUUCGGGUGGUAAACCGCUUUCGCCUGGGACGAAGGGGGAGGGACGGUAAUGGGAAAAGAAGCACCGGCAAACUACGU
RNAcentral lists this ribosomal RNA (467 nucleotides) under uncultured bacterium. Its description in RNAcentral is "partial 16S ribosomal RNA". It matches the Rfam family "Bacterial small subunit ribosomal RNA", at positions 28 to 506 of the family's 1533-position model. The record is from RNAcentral.